UACGUAGGGGGCAAGCGUUAUCCGGAUUUACUGGGCGUAAAGCGCGUUAAGGCGGUUGGCAAAGUUGGUUGUGAAAUCUCAGGGCUCAACCCUGAAAUUGCGACCAAUACUGGUCGACUAGAGUGCAGGAGAGGAAGGUGGAAUUCCCGGUGUAGUAGUGAAAUGCGUAGAUAUCGGGAGGAACACCAGUGGCGAAGGCGGCCUUCUGGCCUGCAACUGACGCUGUAGCUCGAAAGCGUGGGGAGCGAACCGG
RNAcentral lists this ribosomal RNA (253 nucleotides) under uncultured bacterium. Its description in RNAcentral is "partial 16S ribosomal RNA". It matches the Rfam family "Bacterial small subunit ribosomal RNA", at positions 524 to 776 of the family's 1533-position model. The record is from RNAcentral.